GGUGCUUCUGUUAUUUCACAGAACAUGAAAUUUCAGUAACCAAAAUGUUGCCAGCUGAUGGAAAUCUUCUUCAUGUGAAAUUAGGUCUUUGCAGGUGUCUGAAUGUACAAUUUGCCAGGCCAGCCAGCAAAUUAUCAAAAAGGAGGUGGAGUAAACCCCUAUAAAGUUAAACAUAUUUUAGAUCAACAUUUUCUUCCACAGCUUUGCUCUGAGUCUUAGGGUCACAGAGGAAGCUCUAAAAACAUGUAAAUUGAAAUAUAAUAGAAAGGUCAACUACUUCUGCUACACAACAGCAUGUUAACAUAGUAACAUUGAGGUUGGCAUUUUUUUUUUAUUUACACCCAAUAAUUAAUUCAAUUGUCCCCAGGGUUGCUGCUCCUAAUCUAAUGUUCUUUUUUAUGCUUUUGAGCUUGUAGGCAUGGAUCUGGUCGGGAAAUUGACAAAAGCAAUAAAAAAAACGACAAUCAAUACAUUUGUGUUAUGAUUGAUUAUUUUACAAAAUGGCCACAGGCCUAUCCUUUGUUACCUCUGCUGCAUUUUUUGUUUUCAGAGUGUAUCAUAAAAUUGUUCUAUCUAUUUGAGGCACCAAAGAGGAUACUAACCAACCAAGGGACAGAAUUUGUGAAUGAGGUAAAUAUGGAAACCUUGACAACUAUUUGACAGAAUCAAUUUAACCUUUAAACUUUAAAAUCCUGCACCUUCUGAACAAAAUAUUUAAUCCAAACAAUGUUUUACUGUUUAAGACUUCUGUGUACUCUACAUUUACAGAUUAACAAGAGCAUGUGUGCCAAACUGGGGGUCCAAGUGGUGAGUCUUUGUGCUCCCUAUCAUCCCCAAACAAACCGUUUGGUGGAGAGGAUGAAUGGGACCAUCCAAAGGUGAGUAAGAUAUAGGUCCUAAAUUGUCAGGGGUCAAUCUAUUCAUUUAAUAUGACCUAUGUGGUCUCCAGUUAUAAUGAGGGUUUUUUUCGACAAAUUUAAAUUUGUUUAUUUUUUUCAGGGCUCUCGGCAAACUAGUGGACAACAAGCCAGAAUCAUGGGAUGAGUAUUUGGAUGCUGUAAUGUUUGGGCUCCGAACAAAAAAAAAACAAACAACAAAUAAAACAUCAUAGGGGAGAGUGGGGUAAUGUGAGACAUCGGGUAAUGUGAGACACCCCUUGUAUCUAUGAAACGGAACACAUUUGUGUUUAUGUGACCAUUAUUUUUUCAAGCCUCUCCCAUUUCCCAUCCGCCAUGAAGGAGAGG
Molecule: non-coding RNA, 1244 nt
Organism: Xyrichtys novacula (pearly razorfish)
Lineage: Eukaryota; Metazoa; Chordata; Actinopteri; Labriformes; Labridae
Source: the annotation of a GenBank genome assembly